UCUUGAAUGUCUUCACUAUAGGAUGGACACUCUGACAGUGAAAAGUAAACCGAAUGCAGACACUAGUGCUUACACAGGUGCGGAGUUCCCUUACAUACUGAUUAUGCAUUUUGUAAUCAUACAAGUGAAAUUCAGUUUCUUCACUUUACUGAGCAACUAUCCGGUCCCACUGCUGGUGGAUCGUUGUUUUGCGACGGAUUCCAUGUUGCUGAAAUACUGAGGAAGAAGAAUGCUGCCGCAUUUGAUAUGCUCUCGCAAUAUCCAAUACAGUUUGUGGAUGCUGGUUCGGAUUAUCUUGGUGAUAGUGAAACAGAAGCGUGGCAUAGCAUAAUUAGUGUGUCUCCCAGUAAGAAAGUUACUGGAAUACACUACAGCAAUUAUAUUCGAGGACCUCACUUCUCUGCUCUUCUAAUGGAUAAACUUUACGAGUGGUAUGCAGCAUAUUAUGAAUUUUCUCAUCUAUUGAAAUCCCCGGAUUAUGUGAUGGAGUUCAAAGUACAAUCCGGACAGAUGACAGUGGCAAAUAACUGUCGUCUACUACAUGGCAGAAAUGCAUUCGAAUUGCAAGGUGAUGAGUCCAGAUCUAUUGAAGUUUGCUUCACAGAUUGGGAUGCAAUUCGUUCGAAGGCCCGAGUUCUCAUGAAGAAGUUCGCUCCGUCAUAACAGUAGGUGUAACCUAGAAUUCCUUGACAGCAAUUAACUGCCUUAAAGUAGCUUUAUCAGUGUGAGAGGACCUAAGCUGCAUGCCUAGCAAAAGUAAGAUGCCAUUUACUCUAUUAGUUAAUUAUUGUAUGCCACUAUAUUAUUAUCGUUAGCUAUGUAUGUUUCUU
This is a long non-coding RNA of Corticium candelabrum, 830 nucleotides long. RefSeq lists it as uncharacterized. The transcript is spliced from 3 exons. The record is from RefSeq and is a predicted model, not a curated record. NCBI's taxonomy places the organism in Eukaryota, Metazoa, Porifera, Homoscleromorpha, Homosclerophorida, Plakinidae.